UGGAGCCGUCCUAGCAGGUGCCCAGA
This 26-nucleotide non-coding RNA is filed under the name Mus musculus (house mouse). Lineage: Eukaryota; Metazoa; Chordata; Mammalia; Rodentia; Muridae. The record is from RNAcentral.